Molecule: ribosomal RNA, 462 nt
Filed under: uncultured bacterium
Lineage: Bacteria
Description: partial 16S ribosomal RNA
Rfam family: Bacterial small subunit ribosomal RNA
Source: RNAcentral
GACGAACGCUGGCGGCGUGCUUAACACAUGCAAGUCGAGCGGAAAGGCCCUUCUGGGUACUCGAGUGGCCAACGGGUGAGUAACACGUGAGUAACCUGCUCCAGACUUUGGGAUAAUCCCCUGAAACGGGGGCUAAUACUGGAUACGACACAGCUUCGCAUGGGGUCUGUGUGGAAAGUUUUUCGGUAUGGGAUGGGCUCGUGGCCUAUCAGCUUGUUUGUGGGGUGAUGGCCUACGAAGGCGACGACGGGUAGCCGGCCUGUGAGGGGGAACGGCCACACUGGGACUGAGAGACGGAGCAGACUCGUACGGGAGGCAGCGGUGGGGAGUAUUGCACAAUGGGCGGGAGCGUGAGGCAGCGACGCCGCGUGAGGGAUGAAGGCCUUCGGGUGGUAAACCUCUUUAAGCAGGGACGAAGCGUAAGUGACGGUACCUGCAGAAGAAGCGCCGGCCAACUACGUG